AGUGUGUUUUACGUCACUUUUGGUAUACAGUUCCAGAUUUGCCCUGACGGAUCGAAGGUUGGGUUAAGUGUGCAUAAUGCUGCGUGUGGCACUAUAGCAGAGACAAACUGGCCUGUGACGCUCUUGUAUCAUGAGGCUAGCCCAUAACGUCUACUCUACAACUCUAAUAAUUCGGUGGAAUAAAUUUCAUCUGGACAAGUGUCCUCGGGCGAGGCAGUCAUCCUGGUACAUUUUGUCCUACAACACCCACUGACUUCACACUAGGCUCGGGCGACCACAACAGACCACGAGGACUUGGCGUACCGAAGAACAUCUAUAACGACGGCAUAGUGGCACGACGUUACCUGUCACAGGUCUGUCAUCUGACGCCAGCCUUUUGAUAUUUUUUGUCGGAAAAUGGCAAAGUUUCCUAAAUUGUGAAGUUGUAAAAAAUUUAAUUAGUUCAUAAUCUUGUUGAAUAUCUUGGCUAAGUCUUAUUAAUGCUUUGUCUACACAACUUGCCACCAGGGACCAAAAGUGUCGUUAGGGUAAAUAUUAUGGAAAAAUUAAUACACUUCGAAUAAGGAAAACUAUUAAUGUCCUGUGACUUGUAUGUCAAUUUUGUGACAUUUGAACAAUGCAGGGGUGGAGUGUUAAAAGUGAAAUUAUAUGUAUACCAGUACAUACCAGUGUAGGUGGAUGUGAAACCUAGUUGUGGCAUUAUUUUUGGGCUUUGCUAGGUAUAAAAGAUAAGACAGGUCAGUCUUUUAUUUUUGUUUGGCAGUGAGUGUGCAUAUAGAAACUUGCACGCUGGGUUGACCCUCCGGUGUUCCAGAAAUACAUUUUUGCAAGUUUUUCGUAUUAAAACCCAUUCUGACAACGCAACUAAAUGACUUUAGUUGCUUAUUUCUCUCUCCACAGAACUACAUUCUAUAUUACGACCCAGUAUAGUAGAAAAAUAAGCUAAUUUUCAUGUACAUAUUCAUAUAGUACAGAUUUAAUUACCUUCCUAGUUUUAGGAAGAUAAUGGAAGGAUGGAGUUAUCAGGAGAAAGCGCAAAGCCAUUAAGACUACAUAGCCCUUGGAAUGGGAUGGUAAAAAUUAUUACAAAGAAACUACCGUCUACCAAGAAACUAAGACAGGGUGGUAGUUUCCACACCCUGGAAACUCAAUGUAAUUCUAGCAAGACUGUUAAAUAAUUUAUUAGAAUUGUCAGAAGUGUACCUUUUAGUUUAUUAAAAAUUUUAACU
Long non-coding RNA from Procambarus clarkii (red swamp crayfish), 1229 nucleotides. RefSeq lists it as uncharacterized. NCBI's taxonomy places the organism in Eukaryota, Metazoa, Arthropoda, Malacostraca, Decapoda, Cambaridae. The record is from RefSeq and is a predicted model, not a curated record.